UGGGGAAUAUUGCACAAUGGGCGCAAGCCUGAUGCAGCAACGCCGCGUGAGGGAUGACGGCCUUCGGGUUGUAAACCUCUUUUAGCAGGGAAGAAGCGAAAGUGACGGUACCUGCAGAAAAAGCACCGGCUAACUACGUGCCAGCAGCCGCGGUAAUACGUAGGGUGCAAGCGUUGUCCGGAAUUAUUGGGCGUAAAGAGCUCGUAGGCGGUCUGUCGCGUCUGCUGUGAAAUCCCCGAGGCUCAACCUCGGGCCUGCAGUGGGUACGGGCAGACUAGAGUGCGGUAGGGGAGAAUGGAACUCCUGGUGUAGCGGUGGAAUGCGCAGAUAUCAGGAAGAACACCGAUGGCGAAGGCAGUUCUCUGGGCCGUAACUGACGCUGAGGAGCGAAAGCGUGGGGAGCGAACAGGAUUAGAUACCCUGGUAGUCCACGCCGUAAACGUUGGGCGCUAGAUGUGGGGACCAUUCCACGGUUUCCGUGUCGCAGCUAACGCAUUAAGCGCCCCGCCUGGGGAGUACGGCCGCAAGGCUAAAACUUGAAAGGAAUUGACGGGGUCAUAGCU
Molecule: ribosomal RNA, 563 nt
Filed under: uncultured bacterium
Lineage: Bacteria
Description: partial 16S ribosomal RNA
Rfam family: Bacterial small subunit ribosomal RNA
Source: RNAcentral